RNAcentral lists this ribosomal RNA (540 nucleotides) under uncultured bacterium. RNAcentral's name for it is "bacterial SSU rRNA". It matches the Rfam family "Bacterial small subunit ribosomal RNA", at positions 350 to 905 of the family's 1533-position model. The record is from RNAcentral.
CGCACUGGGGAAUAUUGCGCAAUGGGGGCAACCCUGAAGCAGCGAUGCCGCGUGAGUGAUGAAGGCCUUUCGGGUAGUAAAGCUCUUUUAGUAGGGAAGAUAGUGACGGUACCUACAGAAAAAGCUCCGGCUAAAUCCGUGCCAGCAGCCGCGGUAAUACGGAGGGGGCGAACGUUUUUUGGAAUCACUGGGCGUAAAGGGCGCGUAGGCGGCCUUGCAAGUCAGGAGUGAAAUCUUCCGGGUUAACCUGGGAAAUGCUCUUGAAACUGCACGGCUAGAGAUCGGUAGAGGGUGGUGGAAUUCCCCGUGUAGAGGUGAAAUUCGUAGAUAUGGGGAGGAACACCCGAGGCGAAGGCGGCCAUCUGGGCCGAUACUGACGCUGAGGCGCGAAAGUGUGGGUAGCGAACAGGAUUAGAUACCCUGGUAGUCCCCACCGUAAACGAUGAGUGCUAGUAGUUCCGGGUAUCGACCCCUGGGGUUACGAAGUUAACGCGAUAAGCACUCCGCCUGGGGAGUACGGCCGCAAGGUUAAGACUCAUU